Molecule: long non-coding RNA, 574 nt
Organism: Bos taurus (domestic cattle)
Lineage: Eukaryota; Metazoa; Chordata; Mammalia; Artiodactyla; Bovidae
Source: Ensembl
CAAGAUGGCAGAGGAGGAGGACGGGGAGAACACUUUCUCCCCCACAAAUUCAUCAAAAGAGCAUUUAAACGUCGAGUAAAUUCCACAAAACAACUUCUGAAUGCCGGCAGAGGACAUCAAGCACCCAGAAAAGCAAUUCAACUCUUCGAAAGGAGAUGUGCUUGAGCAGUGGACACUGAGUCCUCUGAUGCACCCAUUUCCAGCUGCAACUGAACAAGACAACACUCUGUCUGGCCUUGGCUCUCACUUGGAGAUGACCAGAGGAUGGAAACAGAAGUGGACAGUACGGUGAGAGCAGAAGCUCUGGCUCUGGCACUUGCCAGUGGAGGGGCCUCAGGCAAAUGUACGUUUUAUGAUCCCUGGCCAGGAACUAAGAUCCCACAUGCCACAGUUAACUAAGCCCACCCUGCAACCUCUGAAGCCUGUGUGCUCUGGAACUCGAGUGAUACAACUAGACAGCCCAAUGCUGCAGCUAAGACCCAACACAGCCGAACAAAUAAGGCUGAUACCUACCAGGAGGGCACACAGGAGGACACAGGAGGCUUCAGGCUGCCAACACCCCAUCAUAGGAGAA